RNAcentral lists this ribosomal RNA (342 nucleotides) under uncultured bacterium. RNAcentral's name for it is "partial 16S ribosomal RNA". It matches the Rfam family "Bacterial small subunit ribosomal RNA", at positions 338 to 696 of the family's 1533-position model. The record is from RNAcentral.
CCUACGGGGGGCAGCAGUAGGGAAUAUUGCUCAAUGGGGGAAACCCUGAAGCAGCAACGCCGCGUGGAGGAUGAAGGUUUUCGGAUUGUAAACUCCUUUUGUUAGAGAAGAUAAUGACGGUAUCUAACGAAUAAGCACCGGCUAACUCCGUGCCAGCAGCCGCGGUAAUACGGAGGGUGCAAGCGUUACUCGGAAUCACUGGGCGUAAAGAGCGCGUAGGCGGGAUAGCAAGUCAGAUGUGAAAUCCUAUGGCUUAACCAUAGAACUGGAUUUGAAACUGUUAUUCUAGAGUAUGGGAGGGGUAAGGGGGAAUUUUGGGGUAAGGGGAAAAACCGGAAGAGA